AAUAGAUACCCGGGUAGUCCACGCCGUAAACGAUGAGUGCUAAGUGUUAGGGGGUUUCCGCCCCUUAGUGCUGCAGCUAACGCAUUAAGCACUCCGCCUGGGGAGUACGGUCGCAAGACUGAAACUCAAAGGAAUUGACGGGGGCCCGCACAAGCGGUGGAGCAUGUGGUUUAAUUCGAAGCAACGCGAAGAACCUUACCAGAUCUUGACAUCCCAUUGACCACUAUGGAGACAUAGUUUUCCCUUCGGGGACAACGGUGACAGGUGGUGCAUGGUUGUCGUCAGCUCGUGUCGUGAGAUGUUGGGUUAAGUCCCGCAACGAGCGCAACCCUUGUUCUUAGUUGCCAUCAUUUAGUUGGGCACUCUAAGGAGACUGCCGGUGACAAACCGGAGGAAGGUGGGGAUGACGUCAAAUCAUCAUGCCCCUUAUGACCUGGGCUACACACGUGCUACAAUGGACGGUACAAACGGUUGCCAACCCGCGAGGGGGAGCUAAUCCGAUAAAACCGUUCUCAGUUCGGAUUGUAGGCUGCAACUCGCCUACAUGAACG
This 551-nucleotide ribosomal RNA is filed under the name uncultured bacterium. RNAcentral describes it as "bacterial SSU rRNA". It matches the Rfam family "Bacterial small subunit ribosomal RNA", at positions 777 to 1325 of the family's 1533-position model. The record is from RNAcentral.